RNAcentral lists this long non-coding RNA (7295 nucleotides) under Prunus persica (peach). RNAcentral's name for it is "long non-coding RNA (PPER_LNC008456)". Lineage: Eukaryota; Viridiplantae; Streptophyta; Magnoliopsida; Rosales; Rosaceae. The record is from RNAcentral.
CUUAUAUGUUUUGAUUGGUAUCACAGGGAUGGGGUGUGGCUGUGCUUGUUGGAGUUCCGAACAAGGAUGCAGUCUUCAUGACUAAGCCGAUUAAUGUGCUGAAUGAAAGGACGCUUAAAGGAACAUUUUUUGGGAACUACAAACCUAGGACACACCUUCCCUCUGUUGUGGACAUGUACAUGAACAAGGUAACAUCAUUUUCUUCUAAGAUUCUACUUUAUCAGUGUUCAAUUUGUCUGUCAUGGAUUCUAAUGAACAAAACAUUUCUCCUUUUCACCUUCCAACAGGAACUGGAGGUAGAGAAGUUCAUAACUCAUCGAGUUCCUUUCUCCGAGAUCAACAAAGCCUUUGAUUAUAUGGUGAAGGGGGAAGGAUUGCGAUGCAUCAUUAGCAUGGAAGAAUAGCUGCUAUCAGUUCAUAAUUAAACUUCAAUAAGUUUCGUUGAUGAACAGCUUUAAGUAUUCAACAAAGGGAGCAGUUUCACACUGCUUAAGCAAUAUUUUGUGUAACCUGACAUGGAAACUAUGAACAGCUUUAAGUAUUCAACAAAGUGAGCAGUUUCACACUGCUUAAGCAAUAUUUUGUGUAACCUGACAUGGAAACCAUCAGCCUCCAUUCAAAGUCAAGUUGGGUUCAAUAAUUAAAUUGUAGAAUACAUUUUCAAUAAGACGAGUUCGAGUACAAUCUCCAAUUUUCCAUAUUUGAUAAAACAAAUAUAUAAACCAACAGACCUUUUGAAAAAACAGAACAGGGUCUCUCUCUCUCUCCAAAAAGUUAUAUUUUAGCCAAAAAUUUGAAGACGUUACUAAAAAGUUUAAAAUGCGAUUUCCUAAUCAAAAUCAAACAAAGUCAUCAAAUUUGUGCCGAGUGCAAUCCAUCACAUUUCGGGUUAAUGCAUCGAAGUGGGUAGAGAGCCUCAUUUUCUCUCCCCUCCUAGCCACAUGUGGGUGUGGCCAGUCCAUCUUUGCCUUCCUCGCAAUAGAGGGAAAGAGAGAGUCCUGUGAAGUGGUUAUUGGAGGCCAUUUUUUCUCAACAAUCUCUCUAAAAUAGACAGAACUUGUGUUGUGUUAUAAAAUUAAAGAGAUUGUAGAAAGAAUUUAGAGAAGUCAAAUAGCAAUAGGAAUGCUGUUCUGAUGCUUUCAUUGAUUCUUUUGUUCUAUAUUUUACAAUGAGGAGGAUGCCUUAUUUUAUAAGCAAAGAUUAUUGCCUCCCGUGGAUGUAUAGUUUGCUCUCAAGGAAUGAUGGCAGCAAGCUUCAUCAUGAUGUCCUUUAUUAUUUCCAAAUAUGUGGACUCCACUCAAGACUUUACAACAUGUUGCUCUUGAAUAUAAUGGAUUCUCAAUAUCACCUCUUUGGUUGCCAAUUGGCAUUUUCAAUUGGUUUUGAAGUACAAAACUCUAACUCCUGUGCACUCAUUACAUAUAUGUACAUAUAUAAACACACACAAAAUGUAUUCGAGGUUUAGAACUUUGUGUGCACAAUGACCAUUUCUUAAAGCUCCUAAAAAACCAAAAUUUCGCUUCAUCAGCCCCGAACUCUACUUCGGCUUCCUCUGGUCGUGUGAUCACCAGCAAAGGUAUACCAAUGCAACAUUUCAUACUUUUUAAGCUUUUUUAUUUUAUUUUAAACUUCUUGAAUUGGGUACAUUUAUUUGCUUCCUUUUAGAAUGUCUUAAUUUUGAAAGAUGGGAUUUUUUUUCUCCUAUUGUUUGAUUUUGCAGCGGCGGUCGCAUGGGAAGCAGGAAAGCCAUUGGUGAUAGAGAAAGUAGAGGUUGCUCCACCCCAGGCUAAUGAAGUGAAGGUCAAAAUCUAAUAUACCUCACUUUGUCACACUGAUGUCUACUUCUGGGAAGGAUAGGUCGGUUCUAUUUUUAUCAGAAUGCUUUCCAUUUCUUUGGGGUCUUAUUUUUUUUCUUCAUUUUUUUCUUUCCCAUUUAGCAUAAGUUUGAAUCUUUUACUUAUUUGUUAUAUGUUUCUUUAUGAAAAUUCAGGGACAGACACCAUUCUUCCCCCGAAUAUUCGAUCAUGAAGCAGCUGGGUACGUUGUUGCUUUUACGUGAAUCUUACUUCCUCUGGCUUCAUAAUGGACUAUUUUUCACAGUAUUGGUUCCUUUUCUUUCUUCCUUUCCCGCUCCCUUGGCUUCCAUAACCUGGUUUAGUUCACAUUAUGAAUGCAAAUGCUGAUUUUCAUAACAGAGUUGUUGAGAGUGUUGGGGACGGCGCUAUUAAAAACCUCAAGCCCGGGGAUCAUGUGCUUCCAGUUUUCACAGGGGAGUGUGGGGAUUGCGUGCAUUGCAAGUCUGAGGAAAGCAAUAUGUGUGACCUGCUGAGAAUCAAUACAGAUAGAGGAGUUAUGAUUGGUGAUGGGAAACAAAGGUUUUCCAAGAAUGGGACUCCUAUUAAUCACUUUCUUGGCACGUCCACCUUCAGUGACUAUACAGUCAUCCAUGAAGGCUGCCUUGCCAAGAUCGAUCUGUCAGCACCGUUAGACAAAGUCUGCAUCCUCAGUUGUGGUGUCUCAACAGGUUUAGUGUUACACUCUCAGAGCAUAAUGUUAUUGCAUAUUUGAUGAUAUGUGUAAUAGUAAAUGUUUUUCUCGCCAAAAAAUGGAAAUAAAAAUUCAGGAUUCUGUGCUACUCUGAAAGUGGCAAAACCAAAGAAGGGAUCUUCAGUUGCUGUCUUUGGACUUGGGGCUGUUAGCCUGGCAGUAAGUUUGGGAUAAAUUUUGUUGACAUAUCCUGAAUUGUAGUAGUUUGCCAUUUAUUUCCCAUGUGGUAUUCAUAAUUAUUUAUAUGUUUCUUUAGGCUGCUGAAGGUGCAAGAAUUUCUGGGGCAUCAAGGAUUAUUGGGGUUGACUUGAAUCCCAAGAGGUUUGAGGAAGGUACUUGUAAUUUUGUACAUCUUCAUUAGUUUGUCAUGGUUUACAUUUACUUGGAAAACAUAAGAAACAAAUUCUUGCUUGAUACUUUUAUUUCCCCUGGUUUUAAGCCAAGAACUUUGGAGUAAAUGAGUUCGUGAACCCAAGGGACCAUAUCAAGCCAGUGCAACAGGUGAAAAAUUGUUCUUAAUAGAAAAACCCCUUAAAGAUAGCAGUUAUAACCACUAGUAAAUCACCUUUGACACCAACAGAUUAUUGCUGAGAUGACGAAUGGUGGAGUCGACAGAAGCUUAGAGUGCACCGGCAACAUUAAUUCGAUUAUCUCCGCUUUUGAAUGUGUUCAUGAUGCAUGUUGUUUUUCAGAUAACAGCAGUUACAUUUUCAUAUUUUGUAAUAACUGAAGGCUUAAGUUACAGGGUAGGGUUGGUUCUGUUUUGAAUAACUCUUUUCUGGGUUUUGGAUUGAGACAGGAUUGGGGUGUGGCCGUUCUUGUAGGAGUACCAAGCAAAGAUGCAAUCUUCAAGACUAACCCCUUCAAUUCCCUUGAUGAAAGAACCCUUGAGGGAACCUUUUUGGGAACUACAAACCUCGGACUGAUCUUCCCUCUGUUGUAGACAUGUAUAUGAACAAGGUAAAAGAAUUUUCUUCUAAAUAUUCAAAUACAUUUUCAGGUGUUCAAAUCUUCUGUAGGCGAUUUUAACGAAUGCCUUUUGAUCACUUUCCGACAGAAACUUGAAGUAGAGAAGUUUAUAACUCAUCGAGUUCCUUUCUCAGAGAUCAACAAAGCCUGUGACUACAUGUUGAAGGGGGAAGGCUUGCGGUGUAUCAUUAGCAUGGAAGAGUAGGAUUAAUAUCAGAUAUAAAUAAAUAAAAACUUCAAUUAUUUUCUUUGCUGAAAAAGUUUAAAAAUUCAACAAGGUGUGAUAAAAAAAACUAAAAAAAAACUUCACUCCUUAUGAUUUUAAACUUCUUUUUUAAUUGCUUGUUUCUUGAGGGGAAAUGCGAGAAAAUGGAGGAGAGGUGGAGAGGGGGCUUCGAAGUUUGAAGCUCCAUUUUCUGUGGAAGCUUGGUAAAUAGUCGAACCAAGGCAAGCUAAAUCCAAGGAUGUACAGAAGGGUCAGUAAGCAAGCAGAUCAUAUUCUUCCACAAAUGAGGCAAUGGGUAAAUUCUCCAUGCACACUACAAGAUUACAAGUAGCUUAAGAUCCACUUUCUGAAAUGGAUGCCUCACACACGGUCAGGUUAGCUAUGAAAAUGAGUGAAUGAGCCCUACCAGUGAGGAUGUUACUUAUACUUCUCCAUGAUUCUUCUGGCUUCUUCUAGACUGUCCUCCAUCCCCUCCUCCUUUGGUGUAGAGGUGGUGCCUCCACCCCCCUUUGGUCCUUCAUCCUUAUUCAAAGCUAUAAAUGUAAAGUAUACGAGUCCCAUCGUAGCCUGUUAUCAUACAAUGCUUAGUUCAUUAGAAUUACAUAAUAUUUAUGUACUUCAAAAAUAAGGACUGUCUAUACAAGAAUAAUGCUCUCUUACUGACAAGAGGAAACUUGCCCUCAUUGCAUCUCAUUUCCUUAUAGAAACUAGUAACGCAGAAAAAGAAGUUGAUUUUAAAACACAAACACACAAAUGAUAGCACAAGCAUACUUGAUAUACAUUUUGGAAAAAGCAAGUCAAAUAACAUCAUCGAUCUACUGUUCUUGCAGGAGGAGAGAAAUAGAAACAUACCAGCACAAAGAAAACUUGAGUACAAAGAGUGAAGGAGAAAAUGCAACUACCGUCACAGAAACCCUUGCUAUUGAUCUUGGCACAGAAUCCUAGCACCCAAAUGCAAAACACAAACAGAAUAUCAAAAAUCUUCAAUUUGUACUAAAAGCAAGAAAAAGUUUGAAAGGGUAGACUAAACAUAACUUACCGGCACAAGAUUGGUUCCUGCCUCAAUUCCAUCUCUCCCAACCCUAUUUUACACAAUUCAAACCAGUAGUCAACACAAAUGUAAACAUAAAACUCAAGGGUAAAACUAUUUGCUCUCUUGUAUGAGCAGGAAAGCAGCAAAAGUAAUUCAUGUGAUUCAGAAAGGUAGAAACACUGUGAAUUGGAUGUAAACAGCCAAUGUCGUCCAUAUAUAAUUUAACUCAAAAUCUCAACCAGAAAAUUAAAAUGUUAUCCUAACAAUUCAAAAUUCUGACUCAAAAUUAGCCUGCAUGAAAAAUACUUGAAAAGAUUUCUUGACCUACUUUUAAUGCAUAAGAAAGACAAAUUUAAAAUAACAAAAAUUGCCCUGAGAAAAUCACACUUGCUGCACAUGGCAGCACGUCAGCUAGGUUUCACCCACCAAAUGGUAAGUUCCCAUGGAUUAUGGUAUGGAUGAUUAGCCAGUUCUCUCAACUAUCCGAUUAACGGGUGAUCACUCUUUAACGUAAGAAGAUUCAAGCUUUUCUAAACGGUUCCAUUCUCUAGUUACAGCUUCACUGCUUCUACAAAAGCGCCUUUACCUUUCAUGCCUGAUUGAAAUCUUUACAAUAGCUUUUUAUUUUUAGAGGCCAAUCAUUUACAAUUUCAUUCUACUAACCACUAAUCACCGGAGUUCCAAAGCACUGAAUUGAAAUCCACAAUCAAUGUUGAAAAUCGCUAGGCGGUAGGCGGGCGCCUAGGGCCUUUUUUUUAAAUUUAGAAUUAUUUUGUACUAAUCGCGGCCUGGUGGUGGUCGUCGCGGGUGGAGGCCCGGUGGUGUGGUGGUGGUCUGUCGUGAGAGAGAGAGAGAGAGAGAGAGAGAGAGAGAGAGAGAGGCAGCGUUAAACUCAAGGGAUAAAAAAAAUUUUAAAGGACCCGACCAGGCCGCCUAACUCCCGCCUAGCCGCCUAGGUGGCCGCUCUCGCCGCCUAGCCGCCUAGGUGGUCGCUCUCGCCUCCUAGCCGCCUAGGUGGUCGCUCUCGCCGCCUAGCGCAGCCUAGCAGCCUAGGUAGCCGCCUAGCGCCGCCUAGGCAGAUUUUUCGAACACUCGACAAUUUAGUGAUGGGAAACCAAGGUUUUCUAUCAAAGGGACUCCCAUUAAUCACUUUCUUGGCACAUCCACCUUCAGUGAACACACUGUUGUUCAUUCAGGCUGUCUUGCCAAGAUCAAUCGCCUGGCACCUUUGGAUAAAGUUUGCAUCCUUUGUUGUGGCAUCUCAACAGGUUUGGUGUCAUACUCAAAGCAUUAUGGUCAUGAUUUAUGUAUCCAAACAUUCCAUAAUUAAUCGUUUGUGUGAUAGGGAUUUUUCUUUAUAAAUUUCAGACUUGGGUGCCACCCUGAAUGUAGCAAAACCGAAGAAGGGAUCUUCAGUUGCUGUCUUCGGACUUGGGGCUGUUGGCCUGGCUGUAAGUUUUGGGAAAAUUUUGUUCAUCAAAUCCUUAAUUCCAAUAGUUGCAUUUAUUUCCUUUUCCGUAUUUUUACUGAUAUUUUUUUGUCUAGGCUGCUGAAGGUGCAAGAAUUUCUGGGGCAUCACGGAUUAUUGUGAUCGACCGAAAUCCCAAGAGGUUUGAGGAAGGUAUUUACAAUGUUGUCCAUUGUCAUUUACCAUGGUUUUAACAGGUAGUUUCAUGGGAAAACGUAGAAACAAAUUCUUGCUCAAAACCUUUUCUUUUUUCUGGUUUAGCCAAGAAAUUUGGAGUAAAUGAGUUUGUGAAUCCAAAGGACCAUGACAAACCAGUGCAAUGCAAGAGGUGAAAAACAGUUCUUUAUUCGUAUCAGAUGUUGCUACAUCAAUCCACAUAGAUAGUUAAGUUAUAUCCAACCUUCAGAUUUGAUCUUUAAAAUCAACAGGUUGUUGCUGAGAUGACAAACGGUGGAGUUGAUAGGAGCAUAGAGUGCACAGGCAAUAUUAACGCCAUGAUAUCGGCUUUUGAAUGUGUUCAUGAUGUAUGUUUUCUGGAUUACAGCAGCUACAUUUUGAUUGCAAAUAUUGGAGAUACAAUUUGGCCUAAACAGACGAACGCUUGAGGCGAUUUCCAUUCGCCUUGCUCCUACGCAUGCACUGGGGCGCGAUUAGGCAUGCCUUUGAAAACACUGGUACCAAUCAUUGAUGACCUGUGUGUGCUAGUUCAUCUUUAACACCUGUCUAUCUACAUUCUACCCUCAGCUGCAUCUGCAGUCAUGAGCUUAUAUGUUUUGAUCGGUAUCACAAGGAUGGGGUGUAGCUGUGCUUGUUGGAGUUCCGAACAAGGAUGCAGUCUUCAUGACUAAGCUGAUUAAUGUGCUGAAUGAAAGGACGCUUAAAGGAACAUUUUUUGGGAACUACAAACCUAGGACACACCUUCCCUCUGUUGUGGACAUGUACAUGAACAAGGUAACAUCAUUUUCUUCUAAGAUUUUCGUUUACUUUAUCAGGUGUUCAAUUCGUUUGUCAUGGAUUCUAAUGAACUAAGCAUUUUUCCUUUUCACUUUCCA